AAUUUUGGACAAUGGGGGAAACGAUGACACAGCCAACCCGCGUGUAUUAUGAAUGCCUUCGGGUAGUCCAGUACUUUUGUCAGACCCGAAAAGGUAUCUCCUAAUACGAGAUACUGCUGACGGUAUCUGCCGAAUAAGCACCGGCUAACUACGUGCCAGCAGCCGCGGUAAUACGUAGGGUGCAAGCGUUAAUCGGAAUUACUGGGCGUAAAGCGUGUGUAGGCGGUUCGGAAAGAAAGAUGUGAAAGCCCAGGGCUCAACCUUGGAACUGCAUUUUUAACUGCCGAGCUAGAGUAUGUCAGAGGGGGGUAGAAUUCCACGUGUAGCAGUGAAAUGCGUAGAUAUGUGGAGGAAUACCGAUGGCGAAGGCAGCCCCCUGGGAUAAUACUGACGCUCAGACACGAAAGCGUGGGGAGCAAACA
Molecule: ribosomal RNA, 422 nt
Filed under: uncultured bacterium
Lineage: Bacteria
Description: partial 16S ribosomal RNA
Rfam family: Bacterial small subunit ribosomal RNA
Source: RNAcentral